This 245-nucleotide ribosomal RNA is filed under the name uncultured bacterium. RNAcentral's name for it is "partial small subunit ribosomal RNA". It matches the Rfam family "Bacterial small subunit ribosomal RNA", at positions 26 to 285 of the family's 1533-position model. The record is from RNAcentral.
AGAAUCAACGCUGGCGGCGUGCCUAACACAUGCAAGUCGAUCGAGAAAGUGGAGCAAUCCAUGAGUAAAGAGGCGCACGGGUGAGUAACACGUGACUAACCUACCCUCGAGUGGGGAAUAACCUGGGGAAACCCGGGCUAAUACCGCAUAAUACCCACGGGUCAAAGGAGCAAUUCGCUUGAGGAGGGGGUCGCGGCAGAUUAGUUAGUUGGCGGGGUAAUGGCCCACCAAGACGAUGAUCUGUA